This 253-nucleotide ribosomal RNA is filed under the name uncultured bacterium. Its description in RNAcentral is "partial 16S ribosomal RNA". It matches the Rfam family "Bacterial small subunit ribosomal RNA", at positions 524 to 776 of the family's 1533-position model. The record is from RNAcentral.
UACGUAGGGAGCAAGCGUUGUCCGGAAUCAUUGGGCGUAAAGAGCGUGUAGGCGGUCCGGUAAGUCAGCUGUGAAAGUCAAGGGCUCAACCCUUGAAAGCCGGUUGAUACUGUCGGGCUAGAGUCCGGAAGAGGCGAGUGGAAUUCCCGGUGUAGCGGUGAAAUGCGCAGAUACCUUGAAGAACUCCGAUUGCGAAGGCAGCCCACUGGACUUCUACCGACGCUGAGGCACGAAAGCGUGGGGAUCAAACAGG